UGGGGAAUCUUCCGCAAUGGGCGAAAGCCUGACGGAGCAACGCCGCGUGAGUGAAGACGGCCUUCGGGUUGUAAAGCUCUGUUAUAUGGGACGAACGUAUUUAUGGCCAAUACCCAUAGAUAGUGACGGUACCGUAAGAGAAAGCCACGGCUAACUACGUGCCAGCAGCCGCGGUAAUACGUAGGUGGCAAGCGUUGUCCGGAAUUAUUGGGCGUAAAGGGCGCGCAGGCGGCCUGUCAAGUCUGUCUUAAAAGUGCGGGGCUCAACCCCGUGAUGGGACGGAAACUGGCAGGCUGGAGUGUCGGAGAGGAAAGCAGAAUUCCUAGUGUAGCGGUGAAAUGCGUAGAUAUUAGGAGGAAUACCAGUGGCGAAAGCGGCUUUCUGGACGACAACUGACGCU
RNAcentral lists this ribosomal RNA (400 nucleotides) under uncultured bacterium. RNAcentral describes it as "bacterial SSU rRNA". It matches the Rfam family "Bacterial small subunit ribosomal RNA", at positions 355 to 747 of the family's 1533-position model. The record is from RNAcentral.